This 272-nucleotide ribosomal RNA is filed under the name uncultured bacterium. Its description in RNAcentral is "partial 16S ribosomal RNA". It matches the Rfam family "Bacterial small subunit ribosomal RNA", at positions 524 to 794 of the family's 1533-position model. The record is from RNAcentral.
UACGUAGGUGACCAGCGUUGUCCGGAAUUACUGGGCGUAAAGGGCGCGUAGGCGGCUGGUCAAGUCAGGUGUGAAAGCCCACGGCUUAACCGUGUGAAGUGCAUCUGAAACUGGUCGGCUUGAGUAUCGGAGAGGAAAGUGGAAUUCCCGGUGUAGAGGUGAAAUUCGUAGAUAUCAGGAGGAACACCGGUGGCGAAGGCGACUUCCUGGCCCUAUACUGACGCUGAGACGCGAGAGCGUGGGUAGCAAACAGGAUUAGAUACCCGGGUAGU